GACGAACGCUGGCGGCGUGCUUAACACAUGCAAGUCGAACGGAAAGGCCCUGCUUUUGUGGGGUGCUCGAGUGGCGAACGGGUGAGUAACACGUGAGUAACCUGCCCUUGACUUUGGGAUAACUUCAGGAAACUGGGGCUAAUACCGGAUAGGAUCUCCUGCUGCAUGGUGGGGGUUGGAAAGUUUCGGCGGUUGGGGAUGGACUCGCGGCUUAUCAGCUUGUUGGUGGGGUAGUGGCUUACCAAGGCUUUGACGGGUAGCCGGCCUGAGAGGGUGACCGGCCACAUUGGGACUGAGAUACGGCCCAGACUCCAACGGGAGGCAGCAGUGGGGAAUAUGGCACAAUGGGCGGAAGCCUGAUGCAGCAACGCCGCGUGCGGGAUGACGGCCUUCGGGUUGUAAACCGCUUUCGCCUGUGACGAAGCGUGAGUGACGGUAAUGGGUAAAGAAGCACCGGCUAACUACGUG
RNAcentral lists this ribosomal RNA (468 nucleotides) under uncultured bacterium. RNAcentral describes it as "partial 16S ribosomal RNA". It matches the Rfam family "Bacterial small subunit ribosomal RNA", at positions 28 to 507 of the family's 1533-position model. The record is from RNAcentral.